Molecule: non-coding RNA, 412 nt
Organism: Paramuricea clavata
Lineage: Eukaryota; Metazoa; Cnidaria; Anthozoa; Malacalcyonacea; Plexauridae
Source: the annotation of a GenBank genome assembly
CUGAAAGUUGAAAGUUGUAUUCCCCGUGUUUCCUACACAAUAUAUUUGUUUCUCGCUGAUCCUUAGUUCAAUAACAAGUAAGUUCUUAUCUUACGUGCAUGGAACAUGAAUAAAUACCUGAGAAUAAUACGAGGUCGGUCAGAAAUGAAUAAACAGCAAGGUAUAACAUAAUAGCCUAAUUAAUACGAAACUCUGCAUGCGUCCGUUUCUCAAAUUACUUUUCUGACCGCAACAUGAGCACGAGCUAGUAUAUAAGCAUAACCGUACCAUAAGCACAAGAAUAUCAAAAUAUUCCGUUCCUACAAUCACUCUUGAUAACAUCGUGGUGAAAGCAAUAAUACUGUCUUGGCCAACAUAAGGACAAUUACAGUAUGUUCGAGCAUAUGCUUAUAGCGCUUAUAUGUCGCAGUAA